Non-coding RNA from Pimephales promelas (fathead minnow), 1587 nucleotides. The record is from RefSeq and is a predicted model, not a curated record. NCBI's taxonomy places the organism in Eukaryota, Metazoa, Chordata, Actinopteri, Cypriniformes, Leuciscidae.
GAGCCGGUGUUCUGUCGAUCUGUCCUACCUUGUCAGAUUUUCCUACCGUAGCGCAAAAUUAUAGCCAUAUCUAUCGGUUCAUCCUACCUCGUCGUAAAAUCCUACUGAGCGUUUCUGCUUCGCGUCUGUGACUAGUACAUAAAAUAUUUCAGUGUAACUUUGCCGAAUUUUCUUAUUAGGCUAUGUUACGGUGAUUUUACAGUGAAAAGUAAGUUACCUCUUCAGAUUGUCCUAUGAAAUAAACGGUAGGAUGAUUUUACGUUGCAAAAUACCUCAUCAGAUUGUGCUACCAGUAUGAAAUAAACGAGUAGUAUGAUUUUACAGUGCAAAAUGCCUCAUCAGAUUGUCCUACCAGUAUGAAAUAAACGAGUAGUAUAAUCGUGUGUGUGUUUAUAUUUUACACCAAACAAUCAAAUCAAUUCGCCGCCAAUUCAUCAAUUUAAUGUGAGAGUAAACAGUUCUCAUUACUGCUAUUAUAUCUUUGUAUAGUAAUAAUUGACAUAAAUAGUGAAAAAAGAUCUCGCGCAAGUAGUAAAAUAUUAUGGGCGUGUUGUUCAGCGUGACAAAAAUGACGUAUUAUUGAUGUGCGCAUGCGCAGUAAGACUUGGUAGGACAAUCUGACGGGUAGGAUGGAAUGUCAGAACACCGGAUUUCGGGUGUGUGGAAGCCAUUCUGACACUUAUGUGGUAAAACUUAAACUUAAAAACGAAAAUUAUGUUUUGCUUGAUGUCAAAAAAGCUGUUAACGUAACGUUAUUUUUAGUUACCAUCUGGCAUUAACUGUUAGGCAAAUGAAUGUCGGAGCCGUCACGUUUAUCAUUUUAUGGAUAUCGUCACACAUUGAAAGAUUUAAGACUCGUGGAGGUUCUCGAUUGUAGUGUCCUUGUUGUAAUGGGCUUAUUUACUUUUAUUUGUCGUGAUGCGGUUUAUUUCUUGCCGAGCGAAUCCGUUAACCAGUUGUGAUAUUUCUAACGUUAGCUAGUGUUUUUAGAGCAAUUUAAUGCCUUCAAGCAAAAGCAACCAGAGGAAUCGUCAAGAAAAGUAAACGCCAUUAAGACUUGCUUGAUUUGAAAGGCAUGAAGACACAACAUGUCAGAAGAGACUGUGUGUGAAUAUGCAGUAACUUAACCGGUACAGCUGCAUCAAGGAAAACACCAGCACCUUUUCUGCAAAAUGAGGACUUUUCUGCUGUAGUUUACAUCCCAAGAACCACCUGCAUGCUUCUUAUGGGUGGUGGACAUUCAGGGUUGUUGUCAUUCAAGAAGUUAUUGACCACAUCUCCUACCCUAUUGAGGCAGUAAGAUGCAAAAUACCUGAAGAAAAUGGCACUUAUCCUGGAUUUCAUAUAAAGAAAUCCUGAAGGUUGAAAAGGCUGAGAUGAAGGAAACGUCCCCAUUCCUCCAAAACUGCUGAAGUUCCUGUAUGAACAACUUCGAAAAACCAGGUAAAGUUUCAAGCUUUUGUCAAAUCUCAAAAUGGAACUUUAACUGAACAUACCGAAAAAUGAACGUUUUUCAUGCAAGUUGUUAAGAUCUUAAAGGGAUAGUUCACUUUGAAAUACAUUUUUGAAAUCUUUUAUACCUCAAGG